GACACUGCUGCCAUAGCGGUCUUUGCCAAGACUUGUCCAUGCUGAGGCCCAAUUCCUCCCCUGGCAUAGGGUUCCCUGACUGGGGCUGCUUGUGUAAAGAAUGGAUCAGAUUACAAAACAAAGUCACCUGUGUCAUAACAGGGUUAAGUGCAGGGUGCUGAGGGAGGCUGGGGAGGGUGACUGACAGCCACUGCCUGGGAGGGUGGACAAAGGCAAUGAUAGAGCUGUUUCUGGAAUGAAGACAUCACAGAGUGAUCAGCUUGCGUGGGAAGGAAUGGGGAUGGAAAAGAGGAAGGUGCAGCAUUCAGUGCGGCCGCAGUUAGGUGCGUGUCCAAGAUAAUGGCAGGAGAUGGUCAAGACCCACCCAAUGGGGAUGGCUGUGAAGGACUCACAUGCCACGCUAUGGAGCAUGGAUAUUUUCUGAAGUAGACAGCAGUGCAUCUUGGAUGAGCAGAAAACACUGAUUUAAGAGGAAGAGUUAAAAAGACUCUGCACACUGUAGGCGAGGCCUCGGUGCCACAGGCAGGUGGCCUCUGACCCCACGGCAGCCUGCGGUCAUCAAAACCAGAAUCUCCCAGUGGAGGCCUAUUGUGGGCAGGCCCAGAAAGGCAGGAGAAACAGAAGAGGAAGGGGUGAGGGGCCUAGAACGACAACCUCAGGGUGAAGAGGUGAGACAAGAAGAAAGGCAAAUGGCAGUGCACGUUUCCCAUGACAGUCAAGGCCCUGGUGUUGGGAAACACUGACCCAGUCCAACGGACAAAUGACAACAUGGGACAUCAUGUGACUGGAGCUUCUAAUCAUCUUCCUAACAAAGAACUGCAAGCGACAAAGGAUCUCCUGUGAGUCAGAAUUUGGUCAAGAAUUUCAGUGCAUCUUGAUGCUGAUUGAGAAUACCACCUGAAACUGAUCUGAAGUAAUAACAGGCUAGCAACGUAAUCAUCUCUGUGUUGGUCCAUGCUUGAAUGAAUGUACACGGAAUCUUGGGUGCUGCCUCUCCAUUUUCAGCAGCAGAAGACAUCUACAAGAGAAACACACUGCCCUUUGAACUUCAAUGUUACUCUGAAAUACAAUAUAUUAAUAAUAUUGCUAACCAAAGGAUCUAUUUUAGUUAAGUAUGUUUUUGUUAUUGCUAUUGCUGUUGUUCCUAAGGAAGACAGAAACAUUUCAGAAUACUAAAAAAGAAAUCUGCAUUCCUUAAUCUUUCAAAAAUAAAUCUAAAACAUUUUCGU
RNAcentral lists this long non-coding RNA (1229 nucleotides) under Homo sapiens (human). RNAcentral's name for it is "long non-coding RNA NONHSAT220791.1". The record is from RNAcentral. Lineage: Eukaryota; Metazoa; Chordata; Mammalia; Primates; Hominidae.